This 29-nucleotide non-coding RNA is filed under the name Mus musculus (house mouse). Lineage: Eukaryota; Metazoa; Chordata; Mammalia; Rodentia; Muridae. The record is from RNAcentral.
UACAGUCCUCAUCUUGAUUUCCAACAGCU